CCUCGGCCUCCCUGCAGGCGCCGGGCGAAAGCCCCCAAUCCCUCCCCUCAAGCGACUCGCCCACCCAGGCCACAUCGAUUCUUUAAUCACCGCCGAUCGAUUUAUUGGGAGCAAAUAAAUAGACCGUUUUGGAAACGUUUCAAUUGCUGGCUUGACGGUUGGGGCGCUGACGCGGGAGGGCGGGCAGGGCCGUGGGGCGCGCGCGGGAAGGGACUUGUGGGAAGGAAGGGAGCGGAAAGGCCGAGCGCCACCCGCCCCGGGAGUCUCCAGAGCAGCGCGCGGGGCAGACCUCCUCGGGUCCUCCGGCGCUUCGGUCUCCGGAGACGCCCGGCCUCCUGAAGGGUUCGGCUUGUCCUCCUCUGGCGCUCAGCUCCCUCUGGCGGCCGGGCUGGCAGGACCUCAGCGCCCAGCCCUUCCGUCUUGUUACGUCCAGGGUCUCACUCUGUGUCUCAGGCUGGAGUACAGUGGUGCAAUUGUAGAUGGCUGCAGCCCUCGACCUCCUGGGCUCAAGUGAUCCUCCUGCCUUAGCCUCUCGAGUAGCUGGGAGUACAGAUGCACACCACCACACCCAGCCUAGAAUGAAGAAACCUGCAGUUGGGAAGCAUGAAUUUACCACCUAUUAAGGCACUGGUUUACUGAGACAAUUCAAAACACACAUUCAUUUUGUGUGCUUAUGAAAUAUAUCCCAAGAUCCCCUUUUAUUUUUCAGAAUUGUGGCUUGCAUUGUAAGAGGAGCCUGUGAAUUCAGAGGCAAGUCUGCUGAGGACCGAAUGUUCCUGUCCAUAAAAACAGAAGUCUGGCCUGGGCUCCUCUCUUGGGUGAAUUUGCAAUGCCAGAUCCUCUCUAUCAGUUUGGUUUUGUUUCUUGUAUCUCUGGGAAGGCAGGCAGACAGCACGGUCACCUGUGAAUGCAGCUACAAUUGGCUUAGCUGCCUCACUGAUAAAUGUGCCCCCAGUAAGCUACAAAGGGAUUACCAGCGUUCUCAGCAGCUAAAGGAACUGGUGAAGAUUUCCCCAGCAAAAAGUAGAAGCUCAGUGUUUCAUAGAUGAAGACUGGGGAGAUUGCAAAAGACCCAUCCAGCAGUGGUUCUCAGACCUCAGUGUGCAUCAGAAUCACCUGGAAGGCUUGUGAAAACACGUAUUGCUGGGCCACACCCCCAGAAUUUCUGGAUCAGUAAAGCUGGGAUUCUUACUUUGAGUAGCCAACUUGCAGAAUACAAUAGAAUUUUGGGAGGAGCCCCUCGAUGCCUGGCUUUACUGUUGGAGAGACAGUACAGUAUACACCAGAUGACUUAUUUGUGAACCAUGGAAACGUUUGGAAAAGAGUCUCACUUUGUCGCCCAGGCUGGAGUACAGUGGUGCGAUCUUGGCUCUCUGCAACCUCUGCCUCCCAGGUUCAAGUAAUUCUCCUGCCUCAGCCUCCCGAGUAGCUGGUACUACAGGCACACAUUUGUAGAGAUGGUGUUUCCCCAUGUCAUCCAGGCUGGUCUGGAACUCCUGGGAUCAAGUAAUCCACCCGCCUCGGCCUCCCAAAGUGCUGGGAUUACAGACGUGAGCCACCACGCCCUGCCAAUAAAAAGAUUAUCUCCAGAUGCUGGAAUGACCAGUAAUUUAUUUUCUUCCUUUUUUUUUGUCUGCACUUUCUACCAUAAUCAUAUGUUAGCUUCUUACUAAGAAGAAAAGUCAAUGUUAUUUCCCUGAAAAAGUAAUGUUGUUUGGUUAUUAAACAAAUUUAAUUUUCUAAACAAGAGUACGACAGGUAAACUGCCUACCUUAAAAGCAAACGAACACAAAUAAAUAAACUAACCAUCUUCCACUUCAGUCUCUGUCCUUUCACCAGAGUUGCUGAUCAGCCCAGAAUGGACUGAUUUGAAUUUGCUUAGUUGUUCAUUCAUUCAUUUAUUUAACAAGUAUUUAUUAAGCACUUGCUCUGUAGAAAGCACUGUGCUGGUAUUGGAAUACUGG
RNAcentral lists this long non-coding RNA (1964 nucleotides) under Homo sapiens (human). Its description in RNAcentral is "HSALNT0292817". Lineage: Eukaryota; Metazoa; Chordata; Mammalia; Primates; Hominidae. The record is from RNAcentral.